CGGCCCCGCCCCCUUGGCCCUGCACUCCGGGCCCAGGUUUCCUGCCCGCUGGACGUCAUCUUUCCCGGCUUCCUCCCCAGCAUCCUGGACGUUCCUGGCAGGAAACCGGCAUUUGGGUUGAAUGAGACGGCCACCCCUGCCUCCCCCGGCCCAUCCAGUGAGGCGACACCACCCUGUGACGAGAAGGGCCCGGGACGAGGCCCGGGGCACCCUGCACCCACUUCCUUCCUUCAAUAAAUCGUUGCUGUCACACCUGA
Lepus europaeus (European hare) is the source of this 257-nucleotide long non-coding RNA. RefSeq lists it as uncharacterized. NCBI's taxonomy places the organism in Eukaryota, Metazoa, Chordata, Mammalia, Lagomorpha, Leporidae. The record is from RefSeq and is a predicted model, not a curated record. The transcript is spliced from 2 exons.